This 253-nucleotide ribosomal RNA is filed under the name uncultured prokaryote. RNAcentral describes it as "partial 16S ribosomal RNA". It matches the Rfam family "Bacterial small subunit ribosomal RNA", at positions 526 to 777 of the family's 1533-position model. The record is from RNAcentral.
CGGGGGGAGCAAGCGUUGUUCGGAUUUACUGGGCGUAAAGGGCGCGUAGGCGGCCUCCGCAAGUCGACUGUGAAAUCUCCGGGCUUAACCCGGAACGGUCAGCCGAUACUGCGGGGCUAGAGUGCAGAAGGGGCAACUGGAAUUCUCGGUGUAGCGGUGAAAUGCGUAGAUAUCGAGAGGAACACCGGUGGCGAAGGCGACAUCCUGGACCGGUAUUGACGCUGAGGCGCGAAAGCCAGGGGAGCAAACGGGA